CUGCACUGCUGAGGGGGAGGAGGUAGAAAAUUCAGGAAUGAAGCUGUGCCCGAGAAGAAGGGAGGGGUGGAGGGAAGGUGUUUUAAGAUUUUAUUUUAUUUCUCAUUAUCCUACUCUUGAUUGGAUUGGUAAUGAAUUAAAUUAGUUUACCCCAAGUCAAAUCUGUUUUGCCCAUGAUGGUAAUUGGUGAGUGAUCUCUCCCUGUCCUUAUCUCAACCCACGAGCUUUUCUUUAUAUUUUCUCUCCCCUGUCCAGCU
Aquila chrysaetos chrysaetos is the source of this 257-nucleotide long non-coding RNA. RefSeq lists it as uncharacterized. The record is from RefSeq and is a predicted model, not a curated record. NCBI's taxonomy places the organism in Eukaryota, Metazoa, Chordata, Aves, Accipitriformes, Accipitridae. The transcript has 3 exons.